UCUUGUAAUUCAGUGUUAGAGUUGUUGGCUGAGUCUAGCAAGAAGAGUCCUUGAUACAGUGACAGCUGCUUUAAUGAGGACAUUUGCCAGUAUCAUCAUCUGGUGAGAUGUCUACAUUUUUCUAUCCCAAUACAUAUUAAUCACAACACUGCUGGAGAUAAAGGAGUGUAGCAGCGGCAGCAUGGUGGCUCACUGAAGGUGAUGCAUGAAGCACCAGUAAAACAAGAAAUCAAAAGACAGCAGAAGGAAGAAUUUACCUUUUAGACAUUUCAGCUUCAGUUUUGAGUGGUUCACUGCCAUGGCUUGACAAGGAUCUGUUGGUGGUAUAUUAUAGAAUGGGAUUCCAGAUUGCUUCACUGAAACAACUUAAAUUCCAGUUAUCUUCAGUGAAUGAAGACCUAGGCCCUUUAAAAAUUGUAAGCCAUCAUAAAAAGAUGUUUUGUUCUUGGAGCCCUGAGAACUGUUCAGAAUGUGGAUUUAUUUUGGUGAACUGAGGGGUGAGUAUUCUCUUAUGCACUGUUGAAUGUAAUUAGACUACAGAUGGUGCUGAUUGUGGUUUUCUUCACUGUAUCUCAUUUCCUUUCUUUUCUUCUAUUUCUUGGUUUACUUUAGUCUUCCUUAUGCUUGAAAUUUAAAAUGCACUAAAAUAUUUAAAGAACCCUAAGAAAGAAGUGUGCCCCCUUUUGAAGAAUUUCACAUGAAAACCUGUGAACUGUUGGAAUUAAUUGGGUCGCAGCUGGUAUUAAUAGUAUGCAGGGAUGGGGGCAGGGUGCUUCAGAAUUGUUUAAUAUUUUUACUUUGUGUUUUAUUGUUUAACGUCUCAGCUUUCAUUAUAUUCAGAUUGCUGAAGCUUAGGGGCCUGAUCUUCUCUUGCUAUGUGUAUUAUGCAGAUGCUUAUACCACUACAAAGUGGGUUUGCAGUGCUACCAGUUAAGAAUAGUAGUGUUUGCAGUUUAAAUUGGUGUCAGUGGCUACAGUUCAUAACACAGAACCAAGCUCUCAGGAUGAGGAAUAGGAGACUUACAAAUGGAAGAAUCCUUUGGUCUCCAUACAGUGCCAGAUGGCAGGCAUCCUGGAUGAAGAUCUCCAAAUCAAAAACGCUUGCAUAUAAUGUCAGGUUGUGGAGCCACCUCAGGGCUGAGAUUUCUGAACUUGAAAACUGAUUUCUGCAUCACAAAUCAUCAUGCUCUAAAUGUUCCUGGAUGAUGUAUUUUGAGAAGUGUCCACAAUACCAAAAGAUGUAGCAUGUUAAUUAUUCAGUUCAUGCCCUUAAUCAAGUAACAGGACCACAUGUAGCAACUGAGUUUCUGUAAGGAGCAGAGAUGGGGAAGUACAUGGCAACCAAGGAAGGAUGGAAGUCAUGUUGGAAACAAGUUUUCAACUCUACUGCAAACUGAGGAAGGCAAAGUAAAUACCAUGAGGGGGACUACUUGUGGAGUUGUUAGUGGCCCAGACUGUCCCUAUUAUUAACAUGGAUAAGGAACCAUACUAUAUGCUGUGGCUUUUAUUAUCUGCAAAGAAAAUAACUCAGGAUGAAGUCUCCAUGUGCUCUUACUGAUGUAUGUUUGAGUGAAGAGUUCUUGGACAGAAAAGAGGAUACCAUGAUAGUGCAAGGAGGUACAGCAGAAGCCAAUUGGCAGGAGCAGCUGUGAAAGUAACAGACUGCUGCUGUGGAGAGGAAAAGAUAAAAUGGCAACCACCAAGGACCAUCUGCCCUGCUCCAAACCUCUGUGACCCUCCAGACCAAAGGAUGUACAACCAGAUGUACCCCUACCCCUAUUUGUUCUGUAGUCACUAUUAUAAUAAAUAUGAGUGAAUAAGUGAAUAAAAAUAAAAUAUCUCCGGAAACACAGCAAGGAGAUCUGGCUGGGACAGUAGAGCAGCAUUUUAGAGGUUCACUGUAAUGUCCACAUCUAUAAAACUGGUGUAAUAAUGCUUACCCACCUUUGUACGUUCACUUUAGAGCCCUUUACCCUCUGUAAAAGGAAUGUAAUAUUAGUGCCAAUCCAGCUGUUCAACAUUUUUUUGUAUUUUCCCCUCAUCAUUUUCCCCUGUGUUAUUAAGUGCUCAGGAAUUAGGUGACGUCAAACUUAAGUGGACUCUUACAACCUUUGCACUCCCCUUGGGAUGUGUAUGUUGUAGUAAAUUAUUAAAUCAGCUGAUCACAUAAUCUUUCUGAAAAGAACUGUAAGAUGUUACAAUGCAAAAUAGAGGACUAAUUAUGUAAUGGAAGACUAUAUUUCAAUUAAUAGAAAUGAAAGAUCAUUUCCUACAUUUGAAAUACUGAUCCAUACAAUACUUACAUUCUGUGAACCUAGUUUUAUGUAUUACAAUCAGCUGCAACGAUGUCCAUAUAUAUUUCUCAUGUUCAUAUAUUUCCACUGCUGGAGUACAUAUCCCAUGAAUGUGAUUAUUUUUUUGGUAAGAAAUGCCCAUAACAGUCAGACUGGCACCAUGGAUCCCUUUACAUCCCUCCGAACCAAAGCCAUAAGGAGCAGAGCAGGUCAAACUAUCCCUCCAGUCCUUUUUUACCAUCUUUUGUUACAUGGAACCCUUGGCAAAACUUGGUCCUCUGUGUUGUGUGCAGACCACUUUUUUUUUGUAAAUAUUUAGUUAGGUGUUGGUUUAGUUAGAGAUAAUGUUAGUGUAAAUAGUAUCCAUGCACCCAUUGGCUUAAUAUCAGAACAAAACAUAUUUUUCAUUUUCAUACUAAGGGAAUUUUUUCCUAGUAUGUGGCUAAACCAGAGUCUUUUAACUUCAAGAUUGUUUUUCAGAUCUUCGUCAUAUUGGGCUUAAGAAUCAAAAAGAAAAAUCAUCCCUGGUUCCAGUGUAGAGGCUAAAGUUUAUUAACUUAGUGCUGUAUUUACUCAGAAAGACGACAACCCUGAAUAUGAGACUACCUCCCACCCAUAAUUAGAUUCUAUACAUGUAAAAUUUAUAAAAUUGUUAUAAUUUUCCAGGUAUAAAAUCUAGUAAUUGGAGUUUUGCCUUGAAUUUGUUCCCUUACCAGUGCUACACCAGGAAAAAUAAAUUUGGGGAGAGAGGGGAGGGGUCAGGUGACUCCCUAGUCCUCUACCCCCCCAACAUUUUCCCUCUGCAGCCCCUUCCUUCUCUCCGUGCAUGCACCCUCCUCCCCUUACUGUCAGACCCUGUUCUCUUCAAGCA
This is a long non-coding RNA of Alligator mississippiensis (American alligator), 3165 nucleotides long. RefSeq lists it as uncharacterized. The record is from RefSeq and is a predicted model, not a curated record. The transcript is spliced from 3 exons. Lineage: Eukaryota; Metazoa; Chordata; Crocodylia; Alligatoridae.